UCCAUGCUUUCACUUUACGGACUUCUGUAAAUGCGUUCAACCUUCACAGCUAAGACAUUCAUUUAAAAGGCAUAAGAUGUGUAUUAUUAACGAUUUAAAUUCACUGUGUUAUAGUACAACGAGCGAUAAAAAUGCGUCAGAGUUCACCUUUUACCGGGAAGUUUCAGCCCACAUGAAGCCGUGGGAGGAGAAAAUAUUCACACAAUAAAAACUGGGGUGAGAGGAGGCCCAGGUCCUGGUGCUGCCGCUGUAGGCUGCCAUACUGGUGCACUUUACCUCUCAUUCAAAAGCAACGUCUAACAAACAAGGACGAAAAAUUCAUGGAUCUUCUUCAGGGUUUGGGGCGUGGCUCUUGACCUCCCUGCAACGUCAGGUCCUGUCCCACCUGGAGGAGUGUUAAACGGGGAGGAGGAAUCACUCUCCCAGAUGCUGAAGCACCGUCUGCUGUGAGCUGAGCCUCAUCACCUGCUGCUGCUGCUGCUGUCCACACACACAUAUAAAGAUGCCCCCCUUUUCUGGGUUGCAGUCUCAACUCCGUCGCCAUGGAAACAGCUAAGAUGCCGAGUGCAGGAGAAGUAAAAAUGGGUGUGUGUUGACUGAAGGUAUAGAAAAAAAAAUAAUCUGAAGGACACAUAUAGAUUAAAGGACAGCUGAAGAGAGACCAAAAUAUGGAGAGAGAGAAUGGAGGAAGACUUGCACCAAACAUGCGCCGAGACCAGAAAUUGAUCCCAUGACCGGUGUGAGGACUAGAGCCUCUGCAUAUGAGCGCCUGCUCUACAGGCUGAGCCACACCAGCACCCUAAACUUGGUGGAGAAUAUUUGGGUGGAGGGAGGCAGAAGUCCAAGCUGAGUGCUGGUUGAACUGCAGCCUGCAGGCUCGUUUGACCUCCUCCUCCUUCUUACAGAGAUGCUCCUGCUUCCAUCUCACACACACACUGACCACAGACAGAGACUGAUAUCCACAGCAGACCUUUAAAUGGCUGAGCUGCUCUCAAAGAGGGAUUGAUCAGGUUAAUUUAUUAAAUAAAGAAACAGUGAAUAGCUUAAACUAAGCUUUUUAAGGUUUAAAGUAAUGCUAAUUUCUAACUUCACUUAUUUCUUAUGCCACUGUUUGCAUGAGCAGCCUAUUAAAGAUUAGGCUGCAUAUGCAAACAGUGGUAUGCAUUUUGCUAAAAUCAUAUCCAAAGACAUUUUAUACACUAUUGUUGAAAAACUGCAUUUGUAUGAUGUCAAGAUUAAAUGCAAAAU
This is a long non-coding RNA of Cheilinus undulatus (humphead wrasse), 1248 nucleotides long. RefSeq lists it as uncharacterized. The transcript has 7 exons. The record is from RefSeq and is a predicted model, not a curated record. NCBI's taxonomy places the organism in Eukaryota, Metazoa, Chordata, Actinopteri, Labriformes, Labridae.